RNAcentral lists this transfer RNA (88 nucleotides) under Rhodospirillaceae bacterium. RNAcentral's name for it is "tRNA-Leu". It matches the Rfam family "tRNA". Rfam says of the family: Transfer RNA (tRNA) molecules are approximately 80 nucleotides in length. Their secondary structure includes four short double-helical elements and three loops (D, anti-codon, and T loops). Further hydrogen bonds mediate the characteristic L-shaped molecular structure. tRNAs have two regions of fundamental functional importance: the anti-codon, which is responsible for specific mRNA codon recognition, and the 3' end, to which the tRNAs corresponding amino acid is attached (by aminoacyl-tRNA synthetases). tRNAs cope with the degeneracy of the genetic code in two manners: having more than one tRNA (with a specific anti-codon) for a particular amino acid; and 'wobble' base-pairing, i.e. permitting non-standard base-pairing at the 3rd anti-codon position. Lineage: Bacteria; Pseudomonadati; Pseudomonadota; Alphaproteobacteria; Rhodospirillales; Rhodospirillaceae. RNAcentral also lists the same sequence under 1 other name. The record is from RNAcentral.
GCGGGCGUGGUGGAAUUGGUAGACACAAGGGACUUAAAAUCCCUCGAUCGAUAAGAUCGUGCCGGUUCAAGUCCGGCCGCCCGCACCA